Callorhinus ursinus (northern fur seal) is the source of this 325-nucleotide long non-coding RNA. RefSeq lists it as uncharacterized. The record is from RefSeq and is a predicted model, not a curated record. NCBI's taxonomy places the organism in Eukaryota, Metazoa, Chordata, Mammalia, Carnivora, Otariidae.
CCUUAAAAGAGGGGAUCCAUUGUCCAUUGUUACAGAUUCUCCCCAAGUGAUUAACUCAAGGCCAAAGACCCUCUCUGGUAUUGUCCCCAGCUCUCAAGGAACAGAUAUGAAAAAUGAAACAAGAUGAAUCUGGUGACCACAUGUACUCUCCUUCUCUUCCUUAAUGAGUGUGAUGAAAGAUGUCAGGCUGAAGACCGAAUUGCUACUGACAGCUGUCUUUCAACUAGGAAAGGAGUCAGUCGAAGAAACAAUCUGACCUACAGAGGAGAAUAAAUCUGAGAGAAGCAGAGCUAGAAUCCUGAUCGAACCAUACCUGAAGCUUACA